RNAcentral lists this ribosomal RNA (497 nucleotides) under uncultured bacterium. Its description in RNAcentral is "partial 16S ribosomal RNA". It matches the Rfam family "Bacterial small subunit ribosomal RNA", at positions 28 to 507 of the family's 1533-position model. The record is from RNAcentral.
GAUGAACGCUGGCGGCGUGCCUAAUACAUGCAAGUCGAGCGAACGGACGAGAAGCUUGCUUCUCUGAUGUUAGCGGCGGACGGGUGAGUAACACGUGGAUAACCUACCUAUAAGACUGGGAUAACUUCGGGAAACCGGAGCUAAUACCGGAUAAUAUUUUGAACCGCAUGGUUCAAAAGUGAAAGACGGUCUUGCUGUCACUUAUAGAUGGAUCCGCGCUGCAUUAGCUAGUUAGUAAGGUAACGGCUUACCAAGGCAACGAUGCAUAGCCGACCUGAGAGGGUGAUAGGCCACACUGUAACUGAGACACGGUCCAGACUCCUACGGGAGGCAGCAGUAGGGAAUCUUCCGCAAUGGGCGAAAGCCUGACGGAGCAACGCCGCGUGAGUGAUGAAGGUCUUCGGAUCGUAAAACUCUGUUAUUAGGGAAGAACAUAUGUGUAAGUAACUGUGCACAUCUUGACGGUACCUAAUCAGAAAGCCACGGCUAACUACGUG